GGGAUUUUUCUUGGGAAGUUUCCGUUUCUUCAUUUGGAAUCUGGGCUCUUCUAUCUUCGACUUAUUUUUUUUUUGCUUUAUUCUUUAUUUAUUCCAUUCCAAUUUCUUCUCGAAACUUCCCAAGAAAAAUCCCGAAUUGGAUCCAAAAUUGACGGGUUAAUGUGAGCUUAUCCAUGCGGUUAGGCACUCUUCAAAUAGGAAUCCAUUUUCUAACUGGCUUUCGUGCUUUGGUGAGUCGUCCGAGAUCUUUUCGAUGACCUAUGUUGUGUUGAAGGGAUAUCUAUA
Brachypodium distachyon (stiff brome) is the source of this 285-nucleotide long non-coding RNA. RefSeq lists it as uncharacterized. The record is from RefSeq and is a predicted model, not a curated record. The transcript is spliced from 3 exons. Lineage: Eukaryota; Viridiplantae; Streptophyta; Magnoliopsida; Poales; Poaceae.